Molecule: ribosomal RNA, 433 nt
Filed under: uncultured bacterium
Lineage: Bacteria
Description: bacterial SSU rRNA
Rfam family: Bacterial small subunit ribosomal RNA
Source: RNAcentral
GUGAACGCUGGCGGCAUGCCUAACACAUGCAAGUCGAACGCCUGUAGCAAUACAGGAGUGGCGCACGGGUGAGUAACGCGUGGGAACCUGCCUAGUGGUAAGGAAUAACCGCGGGAAACUGCGGCUAAUACCUUAUGAGCCCUACGGGGGAAAGAUUUAUCGCCAUUAGAGGGGCCCGCGUCCGAUUAGCUAGUUGGUGAGGUAACGGCUCACCAAGGCUCCGAUCGGUAGCUGGUCUGAGAGGAUGAUCAGCCACACUGGGACUGAGACACGGCCCAGACUCCUACGGGAGGCAGCAGUGGGGAGUAUUGGACAAUGGGGGCAACCCUGAUCCAGCAAUGCCGCGUGAGUGAUGAAGGCCUUAGGGUUGUAAAGCUCUUUCGACGGGGAAGAUGAUGACGGUACCCGUAGAAGAAGCCCCGGCUAACUUCGU